Rosa chinensis is the source of this 1176-nucleotide long non-coding RNA. RefSeq lists it as uncharacterized. The transcript is spliced from 3 exons. Lineage: Eukaryota; Viridiplantae; Streptophyta; Magnoliopsida; Rosales; Rosaceae. The record is from RefSeq and is a predicted model, not a curated record.
UUACCCCAAUUUUCAGUUAUGCGAUUUGCCCUUUCUGGAAGCAUCCUUCUACACCGACAUCUCUACACCGACAUCAACUCUUCCAGACUAUAAAUUGAAAUCAACUCUUCUAGAUCGAUCUGAACUUUACCCCAAUUUUCAGUUCUGCUUCUGCCCUUUCUAUUCGGUUUACUUACGGUUUUGUGGUUGGAGUCCUGACCUUGAUAUAUCACCUCCACUUGAUUUCUUCUUUCUUCUACAGUCCUGUAAACCAUCUUUAUCAAUUAUCAAGAACGAUCGAGGAGAGAGAGAGAGAGAGAGAGAGAGAGAGAGAGAGAGAGAGAGAGAAAUCGGUUGUGUUUCUUUGCUUUGCACGAGGAGAUAGAGAGAUAGAGAAACGGUGUGUUUCUUUGGUUUGCACGAAGAGAGAGAGAGAGAGAUCGGAGGCAAAUUCUCACGUCAUCAUCAUCUGAUAUCGGAGGCUGAAUGUUGGAGAUGGCAAACAAAUCUUGAGCUAUGCUUGAGGACAGUUCUACAGAGCCAAUGCAUCAAGUACCUUGGACCGGAUGGUUUCUCAUCUAAUGUUGGGACCUUGAAAUGGGUAAACCAUGUCAUUCUCUUAUCUCAGGUGCCUCUCUCUCUUCCUCUCAGUGUUAGAAACAUCACCACUGUAAGAAAGGAAUCGUUUUUUUUUUUUUACUGUGAUUAAUAAGACUAGCAGUUAAAUGUUUACAUAGGUGCUGGUGGCAUCCAAGCUCUCAUGAAAAGCAAUGAAAAAAAAUUAGCCUAAGAAGAUGGGUCAAUACAUCAGGCCUCUGAAAUCCCUUACACCAUCAGGGCUGGUUUGUUACAAAACUCUCCACGUCAAAUUCAAGGCUUUUAACUUUAAAAAGAUUAGUUGAUACCAAAGUUUUCUCCUUUUUUUUUUUUCUUUCCCUUGCAGCCAUUAGAGAACUAACCGAAUAUAUGUGGAUCAAGUAUGCAUAGUUUCUUCAUGUCCUUUGUGAAAUUCAAAUCAGUUUGCUCUCUUUACAUUGCUGUAAUCUAAUAUACAUGGGGAAAAAAUAUGUACUGUUCACAUUUUGUAAAGGAGGCCUGAAUUUUUUAGCAAUUGUAAGCAAUCCUAGACGAUGUCUGAAUAGAUCAUUAUGUAAAGUUCACUCAUAUGAUACAAAAGUGCAUUGGUCGUAGGAGAUU